Molecule: ribosomal RNA, 468 nt
Filed under: uncultured bacterium
Lineage: Bacteria
Description: partial 16S ribosomal RNA
Rfam family: Bacterial small subunit ribosomal RNA
Source: RNAcentral
GACGAACGCUGGCGGCGUGCUUAACACAUGCAAGUCGAGCGGACGGGCCCUGCUUUUGUGGGGUGCUCGAGUGGCGAGCGCGUGAGUAACACGUGAGUAACCUGCCCUUGACUUUGUGAUAUCUUCACGGAACUGGGUCUCAUACCGGAUAUGAGCUCCUGCUGCGUGGUGGGGGUUGGAAAGUUUCGGCGGUAGUGGCUGGUCUCGAGGCUUAUCAGCUUGUUGGUGAGGUAGGUGCUUACCAAGGCUUUGACGGGUAGCCGGCCUGAGAGCGUGACCGGGCACAAUGGGACUGCGAUACGGCGCAGACUCCUACCGGAGGCAGCAGGCGGGAAUAUGGCACAAUGGGGGGAAGCGUGAUGCAGCAACGUUCCGUGCGGGAUGACGUGCUAUGGGUUGUAAACCGCUUUCGCCGGUGACGAAGCGUGAUUGACGGUAAUGGGUAAAGAAGCACCGGCUAACUACGUG